Molecule: ribosomal RNA, 700 nt
Filed under: Actinomycetales bacterium
Lineage: Bacteria; Bacillati; Actinomycetota; Actinomycetes; Actinomycetales
Description: bacterial SSU rRNA
Rfam family: Bacterial small subunit ribosomal RNA
Source: RNAcentral
GCCGUGGGGGGUGCUUACACAUGCAGUCGAACGAUGAACCGCUUUCGGGCGGGGAUUAGUGGCGAACGGGUGAGUAACACGUGGGCAAUCUGCCCUGCACUCUGGGACAAGCCCUGGAAACGGGGUCUAAUACCGGAUAUGACUGUCCAUCGCAUGGUGGAUGGUGUAAAGCUCCGGCGGUGCAGGAUGAGCCCGCGGCCUAUCAGCUUGUUGGUGAGGUAGUGGCUCACCAAGGCGACGACGGGUAGCCGGCCUGAGAGGGCGACCGGCCACACUGGGACUGAGACACGGCCCAGACUCCUACGGGAGGCAGCAGUGGGGAAUAUUGCACAAUGGGCGAAAGCCUGAUGCAGCGACGCCGCGUGAGGGAUGACGGCCUUCGGGUUGUAAACCUCUUUCAGCAGGGAAGAAGCGAAAGUGACGGUACCUGCAGAAGAAGCGCCGGCUAACUACGUGCCAGCAGCCGCGGUAAUACGUAGGGCGCAAGCGUUGUCCGGAAUUAUUGGGCGUAAAGAGCUCGUAGGCGGCUUGUCACGUCGGUUGUGAAAGCCCGGGGCUUAACCCCGGGUCUGCAGUCGAUACGGGCAGGCUAGAGUUCGGUAGGGGAGAUCGGAAUUCCUGGUGUAGCGGUGAAAUGCGCAGAUAUCAGGAGGAACACCGGUGGCGAAGGCGGAUCUCUGGGCCGAUACUGACGCUGAGG